This 77-nucleotide transfer RNA is filed under the name bacterium. RNAcentral's name for it is "tRNA-Pro". It matches the Rfam family "tRNA". Rfam says of the family: Transfer RNA (tRNA) molecules are approximately 80 nucleotides in length. The record is from RNAcentral.
CGGGGUGUGGCGCAGUUGGCUAGCGCGUGCGGUUUGGGACCGCAAGGUCGAAGGUUCGAGUCCUUUCACCCCGACCA